CUGAAUUCCAUUUGUUUAAUUAUCAAAUUAAAUCAAAUUCACUUGUUUAUUAAAUGAAUCAAUUUUUUCAUAACCAAAUCCAUUUAAUUUGCACCGAAUCAAAUAAAAUAAACAAAUCUUAACCUAAAUUACUACCCCUAAUUAAAAUUAAGAAACCCUAAAACUAAAAAAGGUAAACCCGAUCCCUCGUCUCUCUCAACUGCCACCACCUGUCAGCGACUCAUCUUCAGCCCAUCAGCCAUGCCACAUCACCGUGAUGGGACACUAAUCGUCUCCCUCAGCCAUCAUCUGUCAUCCACCCGUCGGUUGUCACUUUCUCGCAGCAUGACAAUAAUCUUCGUUGGUGAUGCAACUCCCACCUUAAAGCCUCUCAGUUGUCGUAGCUCCCGUUUGACUCGUCUGCUGUUAGCUCUUCACUUGAUGUUAACUUCAGCUCCUCAUAGUUUCAGCUUGUAGCAUUUCUUAAUUUUGAAUUUCUAACUUAUUGAAUCUGUUAGUGUUAUUACUGUUAUGAUGAAUUGAUCAUUGUGAUUUGUGAAGUGAUGAACCGUUAUUAAGUGUUAAUGACUUAACAUUACUAUUACUAUUUUGGUGGUUGAAGCAAUUGA
Molecule: long non-coding RNA, 608 nt
Filed under: Citrus maxima (pomelo)
Lineage: Eukaryota; Viridiplantae; Streptophyta; Magnoliopsida; Sapindales; Rutaceae
Description: long non-coding RNA (CMAX_LNC003559)
Source: RNAcentral